GAUGAACGCUGGCGGCGUGCCUAAUACAUGCAAGUCGAGCGAACGGACGAGAAGCUUGCUUCUCUGAUGUUAGCGGCGGACGGGUGAGUAACACGUGGAUAACCUACCUGUAAGACUGGGAUAACUUCGGGAAACCGGAGCUAAUACCGGAUAAUAUUUUGAACCGCAUGGUUCAAAAGUGAAAGACGGUCUUGCUGUCACUUAUAGAUGGAUCCGCGCUGCAUUAGCUAGUUGGUAAGGUAACGGCUUACCAAGGCAACGAUGCAUAGCCGACCUGAGAGGGUGAUCGGCCACACUGGAACUGAGACACGGUCCAGACUCCUACGGGAGGCAGCAGUAGGGAAUCUUCCGCAAUGGGCGAAAGCCUGACGGAGCAACGCCGCGUGAGUGAUGAAGGUCUUCGGAUCGUAAAACUCUGUUAUUAGGGAAGAACAUAUGUGUAAGUAACUGUGCACAUCUUGACGGUACCUAAUCAGAAAGCCACGGCUAACUACGUGCCAGCAGCCGCGGUAAUACGUAGGUGGCAAGCGUUAUCCGGAAUUAUUGGGCGUAAAGCGCGCGUAGGCGGUUUUUUAAGUCUGAUGUGAAAGCCCACGGCUCAACCGUGGAGGGUCAUUGGAAACUGGAAAACUUGAGUGCAGAAGAGGAAAGUGGAAUUCCAUGUGUAGCGGUGAAAUGCGCAGAGAUAUGGAGGAACACCAGUGGCGAAGGCGACUUUCUGGUCUGUAACUGACGCUGAUGUGCGAAAGCGUGGGGAUCAAACAGGAUUAGAUACCCUGGUAGUCCACGCCGUAAACGAUGAGUGCUAAGUGUUAGGGGGUUUCCGCCCCUUAGUGCUGCAGCUAACGCAUUAAGCACUCCGCCUGGGGAGUACGACCGCAAGGUUGAAACUCAAAGGAAUUGACGGGGACCCGCACAAGCGGUGGAGCAUGUGGUUUAAUUCGAAGCAACGCGAAGAACCUUACCAAAUCUUGACAUCCUUUGACAACUCUAGAGAUAGAGCCUUCCCCUUCGGGGGACAAAGUGACAGGUGGUGCAUGGUUGUCGUCAGCUCGUGUCGUGAGAUGUUGGGUUAAGUCCCGCAACGAGCGCAACCCUUAAGCUUAGUUGCCAUCAUUAAGUUGGGCACUCUAAGUUGACUGCCGGUGACAAACCGGAGGAAGGUGGGGAUGACGUCAAAUCAUCAUGCCCCUUAUGAUUUGGGCUACACACGUGCUACAAUGGACAAUACAAAGGGCAGCGAAACCGCGAGGUCAGGCAAAUCCCAUAAAGUUGUUCUCAGUUUGGAUUGUAGUCUGCAACUCGACUACAUGAAGCUGGAAUCGCUAGUAAUCGUAGAUCAGCAUGCUACGGUGAAUACGUUCCCGGGUCU
Molecule: ribosomal RNA, 1372 nt
Filed under: uncultured bacterium
Lineage: Bacteria
Description: bacterial SSU rRNA
Rfam family: Bacterial small subunit ribosomal RNA
Source: RNAcentral